GUGGCCACUGGAUCCCAUUAUUGAGUGCCCAUUAUGUUUACAGAUUCUCUCAUACUUGCCCAGGAUUACUCAAAGUUAGGGACUUUUCUUCUCACCUUGCAGGCAACUCAGUCUUAUCCAAAACCCAAUAGGGUCUAUGUCCUUUGGCCACAAGACAAUAGUAAUAUUACCAGGCCCAAACAUAUGAUUUGUUACAUUCUACAAAGUGCUUUCGUUGGUGGAUUGGUUGAUUCAUUGUUCAUUCAUUUAGACACAUGUUAAUUCAAGCAAUGGGUAAGGAGUACCUCCCAAGCAGUGGGAGCUGUCCUAGGUGCUGGGGAUACAGUUUAGUCUACUAAGGAGACAGAGAAGGACAUUAAGUACUUUGACUCUUGAAAGGCAAACAUUGAAGGAUGGAGCAUCACACUGCAGAGCCAGGAUGUGACAGGGAAUGACGGGCUCUUUCCAGUGGACACUCAUGAUUCAAUUUCAACAUAACCUCCUGGAAAGGCCUUUGGUCCCUCCGGUGUAAAGCAGAUCCCCCUUCAGAGGACUCGUUUAUCUAUCCACUUCCCGGCUGCUGGUUCUCCCCACUAGACUGCAGGUUCCAGGGGAUCAUAUAUCACUUUAUCCCAAGAGCCCAGCAGUGCUUAGCACAUAUUUCUUGAAUGAAUGAAAUGAAUGAAGGGUGGAUCUGCUUCACAGGGCAGUCAGGGAAGGUCACUCAGAGAAGGGAUAUUCACACUGAGGCAUGGGGGAUAAGAAAGACUCAGCCAUGCCAAAAUCAAGAGGCAGAUAGAACAGCUUGUCCAGGGACCACAAGAUGAAUGAACGGAGCCCACCAUGAUUGGAGCAUGAUGGAUAAGUUUCAUGGAGCCAUUGGAGGGGAGUGUGAAGU
This 877-nucleotide long non-coding RNA is filed under the name Marmota monax (woodchuck). Lineage: Eukaryota; Metazoa; Chordata; Mammalia; Rodentia; Sciuridae. The record is from RNAcentral.